UUAAUGGAGAGUUUGAUCCUGGCUCAGGACGAACGCUGGCGGCGUGCCUAAUACAUGCAAGUCGAGCGGGGGUCUUCGGACCCUAGCGGCGGACGGGUGAGUAA
RNAcentral lists this ribosomal RNA (104 nucleotides) under Brevibacillus laterosporus. Its description in RNAcentral is "partial 16S ribosomal RNA". It matches the Rfam family "Bacterial small subunit ribosomal RNA", at positions 1 to 113 of the family's 1533-position model. Lineage: Bacteria; Bacillati; Bacillota; Bacilli; Caryophanales; Paenibacillaceae. The record is from RNAcentral.